UGAUGUCGCUACCUGUUUGCUUGCUUUUGCUGUCCUCUGGCCGUGACGACAAUGGUCCAUGGGGGUUCCUGACCCCAAACAUCUCCCGCUAGCUGGGAGACGGAUCGAUCUGUUCUGAGCCAUGAAACGCAUCCCUGUGUGUCCAUGAUGUCGCUACCUGUUUGCUUGCUUUUGCUGUCCUCUGGCCGUGACGACAAUGGUCCAUGGGGGUUCCUGACCCCAAACAUCUCCCGCUAGAUGGGAGACGGAUGGAUCUGUUCUGAGCCAUGAAACGCAUCCCUGUGUGUCGAUGAUGUCGCUACCUGUUUGCUUUCUUUUGCUGUCCUCUGGCCGUGAUGUUUGGCCUCGUCUGACGGCAUCGCUGCAGCUGCCCCAGAAGGCCCCAUGGUCCCUGAGGCCUCAUUCACACCUGGCUGUUGCUGUUGCCGCUUCUGCUGCUGCUGUUUCUGCUGCUGUAG
This 458-nucleotide long non-coding RNA is filed under the name Volvox carteri. RNAcentral's name for it is "long non-coding RNA (VCAR_LNC000247)". The record is from RNAcentral. Lineage: Eukaryota; Viridiplantae; Chlorophyta; Chlorophyceae; Chlamydomonadales; Volvocaceae.